UUCUUCAUAGUGUUGAUGGUCUUUAC
Molecule: non-coding RNA, 26 nt
Filed under: Homo sapiens (human)
Lineage: Eukaryota; Metazoa; Chordata; Mammalia; Primates; Hominidae
Source: RNAcentral